GACGAAGGGGGCUAGCGUUGCUCGGAAUUACUGGGCGUAAAGCGCACGUAGGCGGUCUUUUAAGUCGGUGGUGAAAUCCUGGAGCUCAACUCCAGAACUGCCUUCGAUACUGGAAGACUUGAGUCCGGGAGAGGUGAGUGGAACUGCGAGUGUAGAGGUGAAAUUCGUAGAUAUUCGCAAGAACACCAGUGGCGAAGGCGGCUCACUGGCCCGGUACUGACGCUGAGGUGCGAAAGCGUGGGGAGCAAACAGG
This 253-nucleotide ribosomal RNA is filed under the name uncultured bacterium. Its description in RNAcentral is "partial 16S ribosomal RNA". It matches the Rfam family "Bacterial small subunit ribosomal RNA", at positions 524 to 776 of the family's 1533-position model. The record is from RNAcentral.